AUGGGGGCCCUCGCGGCGUCGACGUCGUCGGGGGACUGGCUCGUCGAGGACGACAUCCUCCUCAAGAACGCCAUCGAGACUGGUGCCUCUUUGGAGUCCUUGGCGAAAGGAGCUGUAUGUUUUUCCCGUAAAUUCACCCUUCAAGAAAUACAAGAUCGUUGGACUUCAUUGCUAUAUGACCCAGAGAUCUCAGCACAAGCUUCUGCUCGGAUGGUUGAGUAUGAGACUGAACUUUCCACUUCCAACCCUGCCAAGCUACAUAAACUUGUCAACUCGAAGGCAAAAGAUUUCUCAUUUCAGAAGCGGAAAAUAGAGAGUGUCAAGAAUUUAUACUAUGCGAUGAGAAAGAGAGUAUGCAAUGAACCCUGUAACACCAACGACCUUGGUUUUCUCAUUGCCCCUUGUUCUUGCAUGGCGAUUGGCGGGGAGUGUGUCUGCGGAGGCGUACCUAAACCUUCACAUGACCAGCAUGUAGUUCAAAAUAUUGAACCAGGGAUGAAUACAGUGAGCUGUUAUGGGCAAGCAGGUGGAAGCUACAGUGGUGCACAACAGAUGCAUCCUGAAAUAAAUGGCCAUUCUUUCCAUGCACAGCAUCCUGGCAGCAUGAUAAAAGAUGAGGAUGCCACCAAUAAUGCACCAUAUGUCUAUUCAGAUGUUCAAAUGUAUGACACCUACUCGCAAAAAGUUCCUGAGCCUAGUGAAGUGAACAAUGUCUCUCUUAGAGGUAUCACAGAUUUUCAGGAUUCUAUGCAGUUUCAGCAAUUGGCAUCUAGCAACCAAUGUGGCAAUGAAGUAGUAGAAUCAAAAGAAAUGUUGAUUACUGAUCAAGUUGGAGUUGAGCACGUGCAUUUCCCUGCUAAUAACAGCGGAGAAGCAAUCUGGAAUGGGGUUGAUGAAACAGACACACUUACUCUUGCUGAUGGUAAGAAAAUAAAGACAGCCAACAGAAACCCUUUAGCAUUGCAAGCAGAUGGCGGGAUUUGCAUGCCUGGUUUAGAUGAUGCAGCAAUGCCAGAAGGUGAUUACAUGGAUUUUCCCUUUUUCAGUAAUAGUGAUGAGUUUGAUCUCCUGAACGGUGAAAAUUUUCUGAAUUCUCCACAUGAUACGAAUCAGGAAGACUUGGAUGAUCCUGAUCCAAAAGGUGUACUGGGUGCAGACUCCGUCAUGCAGAAUAUGUUGCACCCUGAUGAGGCCAACAUUUGCUAUGAUCAGGUAGAUUCUGGCCAUGUACAUCAUAACGUUGAGGGUGUUUCGGAAAUGAUCCUGGUCCCUACUUCACCUGAAUUAUGUUAUCCGGGCCCGGAUGUGGAAUGCAUGUUAAAUACGGAAGAUCCUGAGAUCCCUUGCAAUGACGAUGCUAGUACACAUGUCGAGUUUUCUCCCCUGCGCCCUACUGCUUCUUUUGCGCGGAACUCUGAGUCUCCAUUUCCCCCUGCAACUAGCUCUCCAUUAAAGGUUGAGCAUUCCAAUGCGAGUGAUUUGGUCCAAAUAAAGAGAGGAGAUAUGGCAAAUGCCCAAUCUCCGUCGCAACCAAUGAAGCUUAGCCCAUCCACUACAGAACAAAAAGAAGUUUCAGUGGCACUUAAUAAAGGUUGCAUCCUAGGAGCUAUACCCUCUGAAGGUCCUUCAACUUCCAGUGCAAUUUUGCAUGGUAAUAUUGACACGAAUGAUGAGAGCACAUGCAUGCUAGCUUUACCUGCUAUUCACCCAUCUGGAUUUGGUGAAGGACCAUCGUGCAGUUUAGGACAGCACGAUUUUUUUGAUAACUCCCAAAGUUUGAUGUUGUACAAUCCUGUUCAAGUGCCUGAUCACAUGAAUUACAGCUCACAUGAUAAUCAGUCAGAAUUGCAAGAUGCCUCUGCUCUACAGAACUGUAUGCCAUCACAUGCAUUGCCAGAUUUGGGUCUUCAAGACCCUAUUGCAGCCGCGCCGGCAUCAGCUCCACCAGAAGAAUGCUUGGACAUUGAAAAUGAUAUUCCAAACUACUAUGAUUUAGAAGCCCUGAUACUUGAUCAGGAUCUAAUCCCAUGGGACCAGGCUGAUUCAUCUCACCCUGCAGUUUCCAGAUUUGAUCAUCCAGAGAACAGGAAAUCAUUGAUAAGGUUGGAGCAGGGUGCUCGGUCUUAUGUGAACCGAGGUAUCAUGUCUCGAGGUGCCUAUGCAGUUAUCUAUGGACUGCACUUGAAGUACUACAUAAAGGAUCCUGAGGUUAUUCUGGGAAGAGAGACAGAAGACGUAAAAGUAGACAUAGAUUUAGCAAAAGAAGGGAGGGCGAACAAAAUAUCUCGCCGACAGGCGGUUAUCAAGAUGGAUAAAAGUGGGUCUUUCCAUAUCAAGAACAUUGGGAAAUGCUCAAUCUUUGUUAAUAGCAAGGAAGUGCCGAGCUGCAAAGGGAUCAACUUAAGUUCUGAUUCUUUAAUCGAGAUAAAGGAGAUGAGGCUGAUCUUCCACUCGAAUCAGGACGCUGUGAGGCAGUACAUGGCCCGCACCCCGAAGCUCCAGUACUCGUCGUACCAGCCGGGUUUCUGA
RNAcentral lists this ribosomal RNA (2529 nucleotides) under Triticum aestivum (bread wheat). Its description in RNAcentral is "partial small subunit ribosomal RNA". The record is from RNAcentral. Lineage: Eukaryota; Viridiplantae; Streptophyta; Magnoliopsida; Poales; Poaceae.